This is a long non-coding RNA of Ornithorhynchus anatinus (platypus), 1407 nucleotides long. RefSeq lists it as uncharacterized. The transcript is spliced from 2 exons. Lineage: Eukaryota; Metazoa; Chordata; Mammalia; Monotremata; Ornithorhynchidae. The record is from RefSeq and is a predicted model, not a curated record.
AUUCAUUUAUUUCAUUUUUCCAUACUCUUACUAUUGCCAAUUAAAUCUAUAUUUGUGCUCCUGCUUUCACAGUAAGUAUACAGAGUAGGUUUCCCUGCCUUCCCCUAUUAGAUUAUAAACUCCCUGAGGACAAGAACCAAAUCAUCUACUUUUACCAAAAAGCUAGUGCUCUGAAAACAGUAGGUACUAUAAAAAUACAAAUGAUUGAGUGAGUGAAUGAGAAGUAAUGGAGAGCUGUUGGAGGUUUCUGAUGAUGAGAAUCAUAUUUUUGGAUCAGCAUUUUACUAACUUGCAUUGUACUUUCCCAAGAGUCUUGUUGCCUGUAUAUAAAAACAUGUAUUUCUGUGUCUAAUUCUAGUCUCCCUGUCAAGCAGAGUCACAGAAUUUGACUCAGUAAAUUCAGCGUUCAAGUUCCUUGAGACCAGGGACCAUAUAUUUUGCUUCUAUUGUAUUCUAAGGUUUCCCUGCCUUCCCCUAUUAGAUUAUAAACUCCCUGAGGACAAGAACCAAAUCAUCUACUUUUACCAAAAAGCUAGUGCUCUGAAAACAGUAGGUACUAUAAAAAUACAAAUGAUUGAGUGAGUGAAUGAGAAGUAAUGGAGAGCUGUUGGAGGUUUCUGAUGAUGAGAAUCAUAUUUUUGGAUCAGCAUUUUACUAACUUGCAUUGUACUUUCCCAAGAGUCUUGUUGCCUGUAUAUAAAAACAUGUAUUUCUGUGUCUAAUUCUAGUCUCCCUGUCAAGCAGAGUCACAGAAUUUGACUCAGUAAAUUCAGCGUUCAAGUUCCUUGAGACCAGGGACCAUAUAUUUUGCUUCUAUUGUAUUCUUCCAAGCAUCUAGUACAGUGUUCUGCAAAAGGUAGAUGCUCUAUAAAUACAAAUAAAAUACUACUGAAGGAUUGAUUCAAAGUUAUAUGCCUUGUGACAUAUAAAACUACUGCACGCAGUUUAGAAUAAUAAAAUUUUGGCUAAGGCAUUUCAAAAUUAAAUGGGUACAAUGGUUAGUAAAACUGGAGUUAUCAUUUCAUGCUCCUUGGAAAUACAUGUUGCUUCAUUUUAAGAGAAAAAAAUGGGUUCAACAUUUUAUUUCAUUGUAAUUCCUUAGAAGACUCUUCCUCAAAGCAUAAUUCAAAUGUUGAAGUUCACCUACUUUACAGUCCGCUAGACUAAAUUCCCUUAUCUUCUACAUUUCUUUAGAGCUAUUAUUACCAUUCAAAGUUGAUCUGAUGUGGAAUAUGAUGAGGUAUUAUCAAGCUCUCUGCAUGAAAGGCUUUCCUGCAGAAUGGAACGGAUUGGGGAACAUCUGCUGGUCUCGGAAAUGCGGUUCAUGUGUCUACAAAAAUCAGAAGAUAUUGUUUUCUUAUUUUAUUUAAUGUAUAGCCUAUAAAUAAUAAACUUUAAGCUACUGUA